CUGCAGACAAAGGAUUAGUCAAGUGAGCCACAGCACCAGCUCCUCUAAAGUACUUUCACCAAUACUUUUUUUUUGAUAGGCAGAGUUAGACAGUGAGAGAGAGAAACAGAGAAAAAGGUCUUCCUUCCGUUGGUUCACCCCCCAAAUGGCCGCCAUGGCUGGUGUACUGAGCCAACUGGAAGCCAGGAGCCAGCGAGAUGCGCUGGCCGCAGUGGCCAUUGGAGAGUGAACCAACGGCAAAAAGGAAGACCUUUCUCUCUGUCUCUCUCUCUCACUAUCCACUCUGCCUGUCAAAAAAAAAGAAAAUGGCCCAUUUGGAACUCCAGAUCUGAAAUAAUCUUAAUUCCUACAUAUUCACAUAGAUAUUUUGGCUGCUAGAAUAUUAAUUAAUUAAUUAAUAUUAAAA
Molecule: long non-coding RNA, 406 nt
Organism: Lepus europaeus (European hare)
Lineage: Eukaryota; Metazoa; Chordata; Mammalia; Lagomorpha; Leporidae
Exons: 2
Source: RefSeq, a predicted model, not a curated record